UACGGAGGGGGCUAGCGUUGUUCGGAAUUACUGGGCGUGAAGCGCGCGUAGGCGGACCUGCAAGUCGGGGGUGAAAGCCCGAGGCUCAACCUCGGAACUGCCUUCGAUACUGCGGGUCUCGAGUCCGGGAGAGGUGAGUGGAAUUCCUAGUGUAGAGGUGAAAUUCGUAGAUAUCAGGAGGAACACCGGCGGCGAAAGCGGUGCACUGGGGCUUAACUGACACUGAGGCACGAAAGCCAGGGGAGCGAACGGG
RNAcentral lists this ribosomal RNA (253 nucleotides) under uncultured bacterium. Its description in RNAcentral is "partial 16S ribosomal RNA". It matches the Rfam family "Bacterial small subunit ribosomal RNA", at positions 524 to 776 of the family's 1533-position model. The record is from RNAcentral.